GCGGGAUAGCUUAGUUGGUUAGAGCGUUCGGUUCAUACCCGGAAGGUCGUGAGUUCGACUCUCACUCCCG
RNAcentral lists this transfer RNA (70 nucleotides) under bovine gut metagenome. It matches the Rfam family "tRNA". From Rfam's summary of the family: Transfer RNA (tRNA) molecules are approximately 80 nucleotides in length. Their secondary structure includes four short double-helical elements and three loops (D, anti-codon, and T loops). The record is from RNAcentral.